Etheostoma spectabile (orangethroat darter) is the source of this 195-nucleotide long non-coding RNA. RefSeq lists it as uncharacterized. Lineage: Eukaryota; Metazoa; Chordata; Actinopteri; Perciformes; Percidae. The record is from RefSeq and is a predicted model, not a curated record. The transcript has 3 exons.
UAAAAGCAUCUAGCUGUGGGGCGGCCUCUAGUUCACCCAGUAAGAGUGUUCGGCCCACGUUGGCCGAGUCCUGCAGCAUCCCGGGUUCGAAUCUGACCUGAGGCCUUUUGCUGCGUGUCAUCCCCCAUCUAUCGACCUUUUUCAUUUCUAUCCACUAUGAUAAAGGGAAAAAGCCCCCAAAAAAUAAUCUUAAAA